RNAcentral lists this ribosomal RNA (1404 nucleotides) under Gloeotilopsis planctonica. RNAcentral's name for it is "small subunit ribosomal RNA". It matches the Rfam family "Bacterial small subunit ribosomal RNA". The record is from RNAcentral. Lineage: Eukaryota; Viridiplantae; Chlorophyta; Ulvophyceae; Ulotrichales; Ulotrichaceae.
AAAUUUUUAAGGUUGAUUGUGCCUUACUUCGAUUGCGAUCUUUCGACCUUACGCAUGCUAGUUUAAAGUGAAAUCACUUGGCGCAAAGGGUAGGACUACUCUGACCAACAAUCUCAACUUAAAGCUUGAAAAGCAGUAAAUGUAUUUUGAAGUUGAGAGCCGUCAGACGCGAUUAGAUUGGAAUGCUUUCAAACACUCCAAACAAUGAUCGCUAACCGAUUUGAGAGGGUGAUCGGUACCAAAAGCCUUGCAAGGGCUUUCGGCGUUAUAUGCCGCAGCAGCGUGGAAUAUUUGCCAAUGGGCGAAAGCCUGAGCGAAUCGAAAGAGUGAUGGAUUGAAGGAAAAAUCUGUAAACAUCAUAAUCUAGAGAAUAAUAAGAACGUAUCUAGGAGUAAGAGCGGCUUAAUAUGUGUGCCAGAAAGCUCGGUUAUACAUGACGCUCAAGCAAUGAAGAUCAUGACUGGGUGUACAGUGUCCUUCGGCAAAAACAAGUGUGUCAGCGGCGUAUGGAAUUAGCAAGGGACCGAUAAAAUGGGUUGAUCUUACUAGGAACGCCAAUUGCGAAGGCAGUGCGCUGGGGCAACACUGAUGCUUAGGGACGAAGGAACAGGGAGCAAAGGCCAUUAGAUACGGCUGUAGUCUGUUCUGUCAACGAUGACCAUUACCACUUUAGCUCUGCUAGAGUGUAAGCUAACGCGUAAAUGGUCCACCUCAAUAGUACGAACGCAAGUUUAAAAUUGAAACAAUUUAUGCGCAGCGAACCAACGCAGUGGAUUAUGUUGAUUAAUUCGAUGCUACGCGCUAACCUUACGCAGUCUUGGAUAUUUUGAAAUAGUUUUAAAGCAAUCUUUAAAAUUUGCAAAUUACAGCCUUGCAUGGCCGAGGUCAGCUCGUUUUAUGAUAAGUUCGGUUAAGUCCAGAAACGAGCGAAACGCCUAUUUUUACUAUACUAGCUGUGCUACAAAGCACAAAGUUCCAGUAAAAAACUACUGUUGAUAAAGCAGGGGAAGUUGGCAUUAUCUCAGGUCCUCAUGAGGUUUAUGACUGUGGCUUCGAAACGUAAUACAAAGGUGAUCACAAAUAGAUGCAAGGGUGCAUGAAAAUAGUUUUUCACUAAAGCCGGAGCGAAUCUUUUAAAAAUCACUUCACGGAUUGUUUUCUGCAACUCGAAAGCAUGAAGAAGGAAUUGCGAGUAAUCGUUUUAAAGAAUUGGAACGGUGAACCUUGUUAUUCGCUGGUUAUAAAUAGCCCGUCAAUGCCAGGUAGGUUGUUUAAUAGGAAAAGCUGACUUGAAGUUUUACCAGUAAUGCUAAAAAUAUCAAGCUGCUUCAUUAUUAAGCUUGGGACCCGGCAUAAGUCGUAACUGGUAAUCGUAAAGGAAUUUGCGGUUGAAUUUAAUUUUUC